UCACCUUCUAACCUAUUUAUUAAUUUUUUUUUUAUGGUUGUUAUUUUAUGAUUAUUAUUUUAUGAUUAUUAUUUUAUGAUUAUUAUUUUAUGAUUAUUAUUUAAUUACUAUUAUUUUAUUAUUAUUAUUUUAUUACUAUUAUUUUAUUAUUAUUAUUUUAUUAUUAUUAUUUUAUUAUUAUUAUAAAUUUUUUUUUAUUUUAUUUUUUUUUAUUUUAUUUUAUUUUUUUUUUUUGCUCAUUUCUUAUAGCUGUUUAAGUCUGCAAGCAUCCGAAAUGAAUGAGCUAUCGAAUGAACAAAUUGAAUUACAAAGAGAAUUUCUAAUUAAGCUGGACUUGUUUUGCAUUUUCAAAUUUAUUAUAACAAAUGAUAUUCAAAUAAUAAAAGAAGAAUGUUAUGACACAUUAAUCAAGUUAGUUAACUCUUAUGAAAUAAUUGAAAUUAAUGACAUAAAAAAACUAUUUUCAAAAAAAAAAAAACUGUAUGAAGAAGUAUUUUAUUCUUAUAAAACUACAUGUUCCGACGUAACUGAAACAAGUUUUAUACAUAAUUGGAAUAAAACUUAUUUUAACUGUACAACCGAUACUAAGUUAUAUAAUAACAAUGAAGAACCCGUGUCUAUUUUUUCAGCUAACAGCGGUUUUGAUAUGUUAAACCGUAACACAACAAAUAGUUAUCAACAUAAAAUAAAUAGUAAUUUAAAAAAUACUUUUUCUUUUAAUGAGACAGAUGCAAAAAGGAAAAAAAGAAAGAAACAAAAUGAAAGAGAAGGAAAAAGGGAAAAACUUUUUUUUUCAAAUAAUUCGUUAUUCGCUACUAAUAUUUGUAACAAAAAAUUAUUUAAAUUAUUCGAUUUACCAAAAAAUAAAAAAGUAGCUGAUUUUAUAAAAACAAAUGGCAUUAAUGGAUUAAUAAAAGAACGGUUAAAUAUUAAUUUAAAUUUCAUUAAAUUUGAUGGAAAAAAAAAAAAAAAAAAAAAAAACAGCUACAAAAAUGAGAACAACAACUGGAGCUGUGACAAUAACAAAAAAAAAAAAACUAGAGAAAGUAGAAGUUAUCAAGCUAAUAGGUUAUAUACACAAACAAAUAACGACAUCGUAGGAAACCAAAUGAGUAACGAAACGGUUAAUAAAAAUAUUGGAUUGUCAAGAAUGUAUAGUAGUGACUCUGAUAUUAUUCAUCAAAAAACCAAAAAAUUAUGUACUUUUUAUGAGUAUAUAGAAAAAAAAAAAUCCGUUAGAAAUGAGCUGUCGAAUAUGCUUAAAAACACGGAUGUUGAUGUAUCAACUUACAACCCUUCACAAAAAUUAUUAAUAAAAGAUAGAACUAAUUUAGUAGAAAAAAAUGGAAAAUGCUUGGAAGUAAGCUACCCAAGCGGUUUAGUAAAAAAAUCAAUGAAAGAAACUACGUUUGAGGUUACUGAGCAUGAAACCCCAAAUGAUACAACCCCACACGAACAGAAUAAUAUUAUAAAUCAUACAAAAAAUUUGGAAAAACAAUGCUUAUAUGUGACGUCAUUCACAAAUGAUAUGAACAGCACUCCACACUACAACUACAUAAUACACAAUAAUAUAUAUGAACGUAAGACUCUGUGUUUAGAUCAAUUUUUUACUAUUCAUAAUAUCUUAAAUAGAGACCCAAACGGGUUAAGAAAAAUAAAAACUAUGUUAAAAAACGAAAUAGGUACAAUUAGUAUAUCUCCUGUUUUUAUCAAUUUUAAUAGUACUAGAAUAUUUGAAAAUGUAUGUAAAGUCUUUAAUUUAACAAAAUGUGAUUUUAAAGAUAGUAAAAAUAUGUAUGAUAUAAUUAAGCUCUGUUUCAAUAAUGAACGGACUUUAUCUGUUUUGAAAAAUAUUUUUAUAAAUGAUUUAUACGAACAAGAACAAAAUUUAAAUGGGUUAAAUAAUAAAAACAAAAAAAAAUAUAAAAAAAAACAUUUAUUAAAAAAAAAAAAAAAAAAAGCAGAAAGUGUUUUAGAUAUAUUAGAUGAUCAAAAGAGAAUUAAUGUAUUAUAUUUUAUUAAUAGAUUUUUAUAUUCACAAAAAACGCCAUUAUCAUACAUAUUUAGGUGCUAUGAUAAAGAAGGUGUCAAUUGGGAUAAGAAAGAUGUGGAUGGUAGUGCAACUAGUUCUAGUAAUGGUAAGGAUGAUAAUUCUGUUAAUGGUUCAGAUAAUAGUUCGGUUGAUGGAAUUUGUAAUGUUUCUGGUAAUGGUACUGGUUCUUAUGUUAAUUCCGAUGCUGGUACUGGUGGUGGUACUGGUGGUGGUACUGGUGGUGGUACUAAUGGCGGUACUGGUGGUGGUACUAAUGACGGUACUGGUGGUGGUACUAAUGGCGGUACUGGUGGCGGUACUAAUGGCGGUACUAAUGGCGGUAUUAAUGGCAGUACUAAUGGCGGUACUAAUGGCGAUACCGAUGAAAACAAAUCCUUUGGUGAGCAAAAAGAACAAAACGAUGCACAACUUGAUGAACAGGUAGUUGAUUAUCUUAUUUUUUUAAUGAUAUUUGAAAAAAAAAUUGAAAGAAAUUUUUAUAAAUAUGUUAUAAAUAAAAUUAAUGAAUGUAAAAUGAGUUGGAUUUAUAGAAAUAAACAAAAUGAAUUUCCAGUUAAUAACAUAUCUGUAAUAAAACAAAUGAACAACUCAGAUCAAUAUUUUAUUGAAAUAGAAAAAGCAAAAAAAAAUGUUACAAAAAUGGAUGGCACAAGUAGUAGUAGCAGUAGCAGUAGGAGUAGUAGUAGUAGUAGUAGUAUGAAUAGGAGUAGUAGUAUGAAUAGGAGUAGUAGUAGAUACAAUGGUACGUACAACUCCAAUGCAAACUCAAAUUGUACGAAUAAACAAAACACCCUUUCAUGCAAUUUAUUUGAGUUGGAGAAAAACAAAAAAAAUGAAUGCCAUUUACAAAGCAAUAAAUCAGACCAAAUUAAUAAUACUUUAAGCUAUGAAUGGACAGAAAAAACACACAUUUAUAACAAUAGUAAACAAAAAAUAAAUAGUUGUGACAACGGUUUAAGUGGUAAACACAAUAGUGAGGUCCAUUCGGACGAGUAUAUGAUUCGAACAAAAAAAGAAGCUGAACCAUGCGAAAGGGUAAGUGAAAAAAUUGAACCAGGCGAAAGGAUAAAUGAAAAAGUAACACAUCACGAAGAAAACUACAAAAAUAAUUCGAAAAAAAAGAAAUUAUUAGCUUACAACAAUAACAAAUCAGAUAAAGAAAACGAAUUAAUAUUGUUGAAAUUCAUACAACCCUUUCCAACUAUCUAUUGGCUAAUAAAUAAAAAUAUUUGUUCUUAUAUUUCACAUUUAGAGAACACUAAUAUAAUAAAAUAUAUUGAAACUUUUAUUAAUCAAAAUGAAGAAAAUACAAAUUCCUAUAUUUUAAGAUAUUAUUUAAUAUAUGACCAUUUAAAAUAUAUAAUAAUACGUUUAAGACGUAUUAAUAAACGAAUUUUAAUUUUUUUUUAUAAUUUUUUUUUAAAUAGUAAAAAUUUUUUAAAUCAAUAUAAUUAUGUACACGACAUGUACGAUAGUAAUAAUAUUAACACUCUUGAUGAUAGUAAUGGUGUUACUGCAUAUGGUAGUACCAAUUCGAUGGAAACUACCACCGACACAACUACAGAUUCUAGUAGCUCUAUUUAUACUAACAUUUUUGAAAUCGAGCAACAAUUGUUAAAUGAAUAUGUAACAAAAUAUAAUAUACAAACUGAUGAAAUUUUAGAAAUAUUACGAAAAAUUAAUACCUUAAGAAUAAAAGGGAUAGGUGGCAUAUCAAACUUGUUAACGUUAAAAUGUAUCCAUCUCUAUUUUGCAUCUCAUUUGUCUUAUCCUAAUACGAUAGGUUACAUUUUGGAAGAAUAUUUCAAAUCAUGAAUUGCUUUGCUAAGCAAAAAUAGAAAAGAGGCACAUAUGUUGAUAUAUACAUAUGUUUUUUUUUUUUUUUUUUUUUUUUAUUUAAUUUAUUUAGUUUUUUUUUUUUUUUCUUCUUUUUUAACAAUUAACAAAAAGUAUCUAAAAAAAAAAAAAAAGGAAAAAAAAAAAUAUCCCUUUUCCAAAUUUCCAUACAUAAUAGAUGAAAAAACGUCCAUUUAUUUUAUUUUUUAUUUUCUAUUUUUUUUUUUUUUUUGGUAUUCCAAUUUUAUAACAUUUAUGUUAUAUAUGUUACGAUAAUACCUAUAAGUUUGUACGUAUAGGUACACACCACGUUUGUACGUGUGAUUACGCAUAGUUUUGUACAUGUAUGUACAUAUAUAUACGAACAAACAUAAAACCGCUUAUUUAAUUUAGUUAACUAACUCAAUUUAUAUUUCUACUAAGGUUAUUGCAACUUAGACAUUUUAAAAUUGUUUUUUCAAGCAUGAAACGGUUUUCUUUGUGCCUAUAUUUGUGCCUAUAUUUGUGCCUAUAUUUAUGCCUAUAUUUGUGCCUAUAUUUGUGCCUAUAUUUGUGCCUAUAUUUGUGCCUAUAUUUGUGCCCAUACUUGCACCCAUAUUUGUACCCACAUUUGCACCCAUAUUUGUACCCAUAUUUGUACAGAUAUGUGCAUAUACUUUUUUCUCUUAACCCUAUAUAUACAUACGCUCUUAAUCUUGUAGUGAGAACUUUUUCAUAAAGAAAUUUUGCAUAAACAUUGUUAAUUUUUACUUGUUUAUAAAUAUAGCAGUGAUAAAUAAAAUUAAGCAAACAAAAAAGAAAAAAAAUAUA
Long non-coding RNA from Piliocolobus tephrosceles (Ugandan red Colobus), 4699 nucleotides. The record is from Ensembl. Lineage: Eukaryota; Metazoa; Chordata; Mammalia; Primates; Cercopithecidae.